Molecule: ribosomal RNA, 513 nt
Filed under: uncultured archaeon
Lineage: Archaea
Description: bacterial SSU rRNA
Rfam family: Archaeal small subunit ribosomal RNA
Source: RNAcentral
GCAGGCGCGAAACCUCUACAAUGCUCGAAAGAGUGAUAGGGGAACUCCGAGUGGCGUCAGCUCAGCUGGCGUCUUUUGCCCAAGUGUAAAUAGCUUGGAGAAUAAGGGUGUGGGCAAGACUGGUGGCAGCCGCCGCGGUAACACCAGCGCCUCAAGUGGUACCCACGAAUACUGGGCCUAAAGCGUUCGUAGCCGGUCAAGUAAGUCUUCUGUGAAAUAGUGAGGCUUAACCUCACUGCGCGCAGGAGAUACUGCAUGGCUUGGGAACGGGGGAGGUCAGGAGUACACCCGGGGUAGGGGUAAAAUCCUUUGAGCCUGGGUGGACUACCAGUGGCGAAGGCGCCUGACCAAAACGUGUCCGACGGUGAGGAACGAAAGCUGGGGGAGCGAACGGGAUUAGAUACCCCGGUAGUCCCAGCCGUAAAUGAUGCAGACUGUGGUGUUGCGUCAGAGUUAAUCUGCCGCAGUGCUGUAGCGUAGGUGUUAAGUCUGCCGCCUGGGGAUACGCCGCAA